AUUGAACGCUGGCGGCAUGCCUUACACAUGCAAGUCGAACGGUAACAGGUCUUCGGAUGCUGACGAGUGGCGAACGGGUGAGUAAUACAUCGGAACGUGCCUAGUAGUGGGGGAUAACUACUCGAAAGAGUGGCUAAUACCGCAUGAGAUCUACGGAUGAAAGCAGGGGAUCGCAAGACCUUGUGCUACUAGAGCGGCCGAUGGCAGAUUAGGUAGUUGGUGGGAUAAAAGCUUACCAAGACGACGAUCUGUAGCUGGUCUGAGAGGACGAUCAGCCACACUGGGACUGAGACACGGCCCAGACGCCUACGGGAGGCAGCAGUGGGGAAUUUUGGACAAUGGGCGCAAGCCUGAUCCAGCAAUGCCGCGUGCAGGAUGAAGGCCUUCGGGUUGUAAACUGCUUUUGCACGGAACGAAAAGCCCCGGGUUAAUACCCUGGGGUCAUGACGGUACCGUAAGAAUAAGCACCGGCUAACUACGUGCCAGCCGCCGCCGUAA
Molecule: ribosomal RNA, 498 nt
Filed under: uncultured bacterium
Lineage: Bacteria
Description: partial 16S ribosomal RNA
Rfam family: Bacterial small subunit ribosomal RNA
Source: RNAcentral